AACAUAGCCUAGUUGCAGGCUGAAUGCUACAUCUUGGAGGUUCCUGGAGGGUCCAAUCCUAUCUGGAGAUGUCCAGAAUCCAUGGCACCAUGUCAGCUCAGUGCAGCGUCCCGUCAGCUCCACUCAUC
Alligator sinensis (Chinese alligator) is the source of this 128-nucleotide long non-coding RNA. RefSeq lists it as uncharacterized. The record is from RefSeq and is a predicted model, not a curated record. The transcript has 3 exons. Lineage: Eukaryota; Metazoa; Chordata; Crocodylia; Alligatoridae.